GAUGAACGCUAGCGGCAGGCCUAAUACAUGCAAGUCGAGGGGCAGCACAGGUAGCAAUACUGGGUGGCGACCGGCAAACGGGUGCGGAACACGUACGCAACCUUCCUUUGAGUGGGGAAUAGCCCAGAGAAAUUUGGAUUAAUACCCCGUAAUAUCGUUGAGAGGCAUCUCUUGGCGAUUAAAGCUCCGGCUCUCGAAGA
Molecule: ribosomal RNA, 200 nt
Filed under: uncultured bacterium
Lineage: Bacteria
Description: partial 16S ribosomal RNA
Rfam family: Bacterial small subunit ribosomal RNA
Source: RNAcentral